CUUCCGUAGGGUGAACCUGCGGAAGGAUCAUUACCGAGUUUUCGAGCUCCGGCUCGACUCUCCCACCCUUUGUGAACGUACCUCUGUUGCUUUGGCGGCUCCGGCCGCCAAAGGACCUUCAAACUCCAGUCAGUAAACGCAGACGUCUGAUAAACAAGUUAAUAAACUAAAACUUUCAACAACGGAUCUCUUGGUUCUGGCAUCGAUGAAGAACGCAGCGAAAUGCGAUAAGUAAUGUGAAUUGCAGAAUUCAGUGAAUCAUCGAAUCUUUGAACGCACAUUGCGCCCCUUGGUAUUCCGGGGGGCAUGCCUGUUCGAGCGUCAUUACAACCCUCAAGCUCUGCUUGGAAUUGGGCACCGUCCUCACUGCGGACGCGCCUCAAAGACCUCGGCGGUGGCUGUUCAGCCCUCAAGCGUAGUAGAAUACACCUCGCUUUGGAGCGGUUGGCGUCGCCCGCCGGACGAACCUUCUGAACUUUUCUCAAGGUUGACCUCGG
RNAcentral lists this ribosomal RNA (497 nucleotides) under Lasiodiplodia brasiliensis. RNAcentral describes it as "partial 18S ribosomal RNA". The stretch from base 171 to 324 matches the Rfam family "5.8S ribosomal RNA". Lineage: Eukaryota; Fungi; Ascomycota; Dothideomycetes; Botryosphaeriales; Botryosphaeriaceae. The record is from RNAcentral.